This 301-nucleotide ribosomal RNA is filed under the name uncultured bacterium. RNAcentral's name for it is "partial 16S ribosomal RNA". It matches the Rfam family "Bacterial small subunit ribosomal RNA", at positions 509 to 809 of the family's 1533-position model. The record is from RNAcentral.
CAGCCGCCGCGGUAAUACGUAGGUGGCAAGCGUUGUCCGGAAUUAUUGGGCGUAAAGGGCUCGCAGGCGGUUUCUUAAGUCUGAUGUGAAAGCCCCCGGCUCAACCGGGGAGGGUCAUUGGAGACUGGGAAACUUGAGUGCAGAAGAGGAGAGUGGAAUUCCACGUGUAGCGGUGAAAUGCGUAGAGAUGUGGAGGAACACCAGUGGCGAAGGCGACUCUCUGGUCUGUAACUGACGCUGAGGAGCGAAAGCGUGGGGAGCGAACAGGAUUAGAUACCCGGGUAGUCCCUGUCUCUUAUAA